UUCCAUCUGAGCUUUGUGGCAGUGUUGACUUGUGUAGCUGCAGUAUUAUGCCUUUGGAUAUUCCCUAACUUUUGCGCGAACUACUCCUUAAGAGUUUCAGUUCACCGGGAGAUUUUACCCUUUUUUGCUUAAGUCGCCCUUUCGGGUUUUCGACUUACCGGGCUUAAUAAUUUUUUUUGUUUAUCCCUAAUUUUUGCCUGAGCCGCCCUUUCGGGUUUUCAAUUCACCGGGAUGCUCAUUUUUUUUAAGUCGCCCUUUCGAGUUUUCAACUUAGCGAGCUUU
RNAcentral lists this long non-coding RNA (282 nucleotides) under Lathyrus oleraceus (garden pea). Its description in RNAcentral is "Pisum sativum (pea) long non-coding RNA (PSAT_LNC040302)". Lineage: Eukaryota; Viridiplantae; Streptophyta; Magnoliopsida; Fabales; Fabaceae. The record is from RNAcentral.